UACAGAGGUCCCAAGCGUUGUUCGGAUUCACUGGGCGUAAAGGGUGCGUAGGUGGUCGUGGAAGUUCGGUGUGAAAUCUCGGAGCUUAACUCCGAAAAGUCAUCGAAUACUCUACGGCUCGAGGGUCGGAGGGGAGACUGGAAUUCUCGGUGUAGCAGUGAAAUGCGUAGAUAUCGAGAGGAACACCAGUGGCGAAGGCGAGUCUCUGGACGACUCCUGACACUGAGGCACGAAAGCUAGGGGAG
RNAcentral lists this ribosomal RNA (245 nucleotides) under uncultured bacterium. RNAcentral's name for it is "partial 16S ribosomal RNA". It matches the Rfam family "Bacterial small subunit ribosomal RNA", at positions 524 to 768 of the family's 1533-position model. The record is from RNAcentral.